AGAAGCAUUAAUGGUGGAUACCUCGGCUCCUAAAUCGAUGAAGACCGUAGCAAACUGCGAUAAAAGACCGUAGCAAACUGCGAUAAUUCACUUGAAUUGCAGACUACUGGGAAAGUCGAAUCGUUGAACGCACAUGAUAAUAUUGACUUUUUUAAAGUUAAAUAUUACACUUGAUUGAGAGUCGCU
This 186-nucleotide ribosomal RNA is filed under the name Acytostelium leptosomum. Its description in RNAcentral is "5.8S ribosomal RNA". It matches the Rfam family "5.8S ribosomal RNA". Rfam says of the family: 5.8S ribosomal RNA (5.8S rRNA) is a component of the large subunit of the eukaryotic ribosome. It is transcribed by RNA polymerase I as part of the 45S precursor that also contains 18S and 28S rRNA. Lineage: Eukaryota; Evosea; Eumycetozoa; Acytosteliales; Acytosteliaceae. The record is from RNAcentral.